GUGAUAAAUGAAAGUGAUAGAAUUGAAAAGUGAAAUGAUUCAAAAAUGUAAAUUAGAGUUUUGUUGGGUUUCCGGAAACGACGAUCUGCAAUGGACCAAAUAUUCUCUUUGCGUCGAAUCCUCGACAAGUUCAGAGAAGUAAACUUGCAGGCUUACCAUCAGUUUCGAGACUUCAAGGCGACAUACGAUACAGUUAAGCGCAACGAGUUAUGCCAGGUUAUGCUUUGAUUUGUAGAACCCCUUGACGGUUUCUCAUCAUGCGUCGAGCUGUACGAAGCAUACCAACACGCAAAUAUCAGCGAACUGAUAAAAUACGGCAGACUACAGUGUGCUGGCCACGUGGCACGAAUGUUGGAGGAGCGACCAGCAAAGAUAGUAUUCAGUAGAGAGCCCGACAGAGGUCGGCGACUCCGUGGUAGACCCCAUACUCGUUGGACGUGUGGUGUGAAUGAGGACGCCCGAUCGGCGGUACUUAGAGUUCGGCAGUCGCCAGAGACCUGUUGCCAUAAAAAUAAAGUAGGUACCGUAAAGUAUAGGCUUCAACAAUCUUCAAGGCAAAAACGAGUGGACUUUACUAUCUUUAAAGGUUAAUGCGUGGUUACUAGUUUUAUUCGAGAACUUUGUAAGACGAUGAAAUUCCUGUUUUUCUGUAUGUGGAUGGGUUAUUGAUUUUGGGACGAAAAUUUCUAUACAUUGCCUAAUAACCCAAAAAAUAGAACUUCGAUCAGGAUCAGGAACAUAAAAUACAUCUUUAAUAUAUAACUUUUGAUCUGAUCGCCCAAUACAUUCAGUAAAACCUACAACUUGUGUAUAAAUUCAUUCGAUCAAACCUCCUAUCACUGAACUUACACAAAGCUGCGCACACCCAACUCGUUAAAGCAUUCCGGAGCUUCCGGUCAUUCAAAUUAAUACAGAUGAAACUCGUAGAGUAGGCAAAUUAAAAUAUCUAGGACUUAACUUGGAUAGUGUCCUGAACUGGGAGCAAUACAUCCUGCACACCACAGCUAAACUAGGAGCCUGUGUGUAAAAUUCCGAAAAAUACCACCGUUUGUACCAAUGGAAUGGAUCAUAAAUAUGUACUAGUCUCUGUUUGGGGGAACGCUUGCAUGUCCAGGCUACGGAAUUUUUAGGUUCUACAGAAUCGUUGCUUGAAAACUAUCGUCAAAAACUGCAUCUCUAUCCAACGGAACAACUGUACAACGAUUUGUAGGACUCGUUUCUACCUAUUCGGGGACUACAUUUGUUGCAGACAUUAACACACAUGCACAAUAUCGUAACAAAUCCAGCCAGUCAUCACAACAUGAUAAUUAGGUACAAGGAAUUUCCAGGAGAACAACGAGAACUUUCACAACAACUCGUUUGUCUAGACCGAAUACGGAGCAAGAUAAAAAGCGCUUCGACUAUAGAGGUUGUGAACUGUACAAUGAAUUACCAGCAGCAAACAAACAACAACAAAUGGCCAUCCUGUUCAAGAGGGACUUAAAGUAACACCUCGAACUCAAUAUCUACGCAUCAUCUAUUAACAUAGGAAUCGGGCCUGAUGGUCGAAUGGAACAUCGCUUUCAAACAGCGCACGUCUUCUGUUGAUAAACGUCAACUGCUCUAGACGAAUGCAUUGUUCCAAAGCCCGCUACUACACGGACAAUCGCCAAGUCAUCUGCCUUUCAAUGCUUCGUUCCCAUCAACUAGUCAAAUGGUCAACUAGAUAGAUUGCCACCUCUCGUACACCGUGGUCAAUUGUUUCGUAGUGAAAACAUCAGGCUUGAUGGUCGAGCGGAACAUUAGUUUACGUCAGAGAGUUAUGAAUUGAAUUGUAUGAGAUUAAGUAAGUACGCUUUCUUCAAAGAGAUCCUUAUCUCACUGGAAGCUGCUAUAAAUAAUUAAAUAAAUAAUAUCAAUCAUUUGUCCUUUUUUCUUCCUUUUUCGAAUCUGCGUGACUUAUCACAAUGCCAAAUUGAGUCUCGCAUGACCUAACCAAACUAAACACUAGCGGGGUCGGUAGAGCCUAAUCUAGGUUUCGACUAACCCUAGCAUUACUAAUAAAUCCUUGAGACUAACAUCAAUCCAUUGCACUCAUAGACAUAAAAUGGCAUUACUAACUUUUUUCACUUUUCAUACUUUUACUUUAUCAUAAAUCUUAAUCAUCUUGCUAUUUUCGCACUUCCUAAAUCAUCUUCCACCCAAAACUUAAUUCCUUAAUUCGCACUUCCUAAAACAUCUUCCACUCAAAACUUAAUUCCAUUUUACCUAUACUAUAUUAUUACUAAUGCUUGAAUUCAUUUUUUUUACCUUUGCAUGUGAGAACGAGAUUCAACUAACUAUUUCCAAAAAUGGAAGUUUUGAUAUAAAAUGAAGGUGCUAUGCUUGUUAGAAUACCGAGAGAUGGAUAUUGCCUUUUUUCGGUUAUCUGUCACCAAUCCUAUAGUACAGGAAUAAAACCUAAAAGACAUUUAUGAGGAAGUUAUCGAAAUGAGAAGAAAUAUCGUCGGCUGAAUCGGAUACAGAGAUGCAAGGUCAAUCAUUUCUCCAAAAAUUAGAAAGCAGCAACGAAUGGGAUGUAGAGCAAGCAUUGCUGCGGCUUCGAGGUUAACAGUUGCCUGGACAUGAAGGUAAAAGACAAAAUUGCGUGAUUGGUCAGAACGACGAUGGAUAGAGGGAUGUGUAUAGCAGGGGCGACUCGUGGCUGUUGAAUCCACCUGUUCAACUAGAAACUCUGAAAAUCAGAGUUUGGAGAAGUAACUACAAUUUUAUCCGCGAAUAAAAGCAAAUUCAUUUUUUGCCUGGCGUCCCCAUGUGCAUUGCACAGGUUGCACCUAUGGACGAGUCGCCCCUGGUGUAUAGUGUGAGUUUCGGGGACGCUCUCGAGUCCUUUCAAAUCUCGAAGAGGGUUGCGGCAGGGUGAUGUGUUUUUUAUGUCUGCUUUUUAACACUGCCAUGGAAGGUGUUAUUAGAAGAGUGCGGAUAGAGACGAGUGGUACAAUCUUCAGGAAGUCCGGCAACUUUGAGACGUUGACGAAAACGUACAGCACACUUAAGGCAGAGGCCAAUCGAGUCGGACUAGUCAUAAACACGUCGAAGACAAAAUCAUGAAAAGUAGAGGCUGGAAGGAAAACUCUGUUGGCCUCCCACCACGAAUUCUAAUUGACGGUGACGAAAUCGACGUGGUAGAUGAGUUUGUGAAUUUGGGUUCACUAGUGACCGUCGACAGAAAGGUAAAAAUACUCAUUAUGGCCGAAUAUCGCGCUUACUUUGGACUGCGGAAAACGCUUCGAUCGAACAAA
Long non-coding RNA from Wyeomyia smithii (pitcher-plant mosquito), 3281 nucleotides. RefSeq lists it as uncharacterized. Lineage: Eukaryota; Metazoa; Arthropoda; Insecta; Diptera; Culicidae. The transcript is spliced from 3 exons. The record is from RefSeq and is a predicted model, not a curated record.